UAAUAGUCACUGUUCAAAACAAUUGAUUUCUCUGAUGUACAUGUCACUCUUCAGGGAACCUGAAAUGUGCUGAUGCUUUAGGUAUGUACUUGUGUAUCUAUGCAGAAAGGGUCUGUAAUAGCUUUCUGGGACUGCCAUAGCAAAGUACCACAGACUGUCUGGCUUAAACAACAGAUAUUAAUUUUCUCACAAUCCUAGAGGCUAGAAGUCUCAGUUCAAGAUGUCAGCAGGGCUGAUUUUUCCCUAGAGGCCUCUCUCCUUGGCUUGUAGAUGGCCCUCUUUUCUCUGUGUCUUCACGUGGUCUUCUCUCUAGUCCUGUCUGUGUCCUAAUCUCUCCUUAUAAGGACGUCAGUCAUGUUGGAUUGUGGCCCACCCAUUUGACUUCAUCUUUCCUUAAUUACCUCUUGAAAGAACCCAUUUCGAAAUACAGUCACAUUCUGAGGUACUGGGGGUUAGAACUUCAACACAUGAAUUUUGGAGGGAGAUAAUUCAUGCCACAUUUUCACUUCAGUAAUGGGCAGAGAUGUCAUGUUAACUUAGAUAACUGGCACAAAUGCAAAGGAGUGAUCUGAGAUCUGAGUCACCAGCUUGCGUGUCAAGAUUGCAAAAUAAUGGAAUUCAAGGUCCAGCCUGGGGCAUUCCUUACCUUCAUGUGCCCUUUGGUUUGAGGUAUCUACUAAUCUCAGGUCCAGCAAAUGAGUACAGUAUAUUUGUUUGUAUUUCUCUUGACUCAACACAGAUAAAAAGAUUGAAAAACAGAGAUAAAAAAGUUGCAUCAGUAACAAGUCAUAUUCUUUGCAAAUGGUAGUGGAAAAGAAGACGACCUUCUGUACUUACGAAGACUGAGUAUUGUGUUUUGUUUUCACAUUAAUUGUAGAUACCAGUUUUAUAUACAAAAUAAUUCACUAAAUAACUCACGUAAAAUCAAGAGAUUUUAAAAUUUGUCAAUGUAGUCUUUUUCUCUGUUAAGCAGAAAAUCUAGAAGAGUUCUGUAGUUGGAGACAAUAGGCUAAAUCAAAGAAGGAGAAAAUAGUUAUGAUUUUUAAAACCACUGAAGCUUUAAGUGUCUGCCAGUGUUCUGGUGAUUUGGGGCUGAAAUCUGCUCUGUUCCUUACUUUCCUUUGUCAGCAGUGUUCACCAUGGCAACUUCAAUAAAACUCCCCUCACAAAUGUUUUUCUUCUAGAGUGCAAAGCACCUUUUUAAAGAAGGCUGACAACCUGGUAGGAAUGGGUGUUUGGAAAAAAUCAAAUGAAAAGUAUUCUGCUUUCUUCCCGAUUGCUGUAGGUGGCAGGAGAAUUUGGACAAGCUUUGUCCAUACAAAUUCAUGAGCCACUUGCGAAUGUGGAUGUUGUAUGGACAGCUUUAGCCAAUUACCUGAUUUAGUGAAAGCUGCUUGGGUCCAGAUCCAUUUCUUGGGACUACUUUGUGACCCAGACCUGCACUGAAAAUGCUCACUGGAACGGGGGGAGAUACUUAAAGAAAGUCAGAGAAAGGUGCCAGUCAACAUCACCAUCAGCAAGAAAUGGGCACCAGUACGUGUGCAUUGUGUGUUUGAGGGGAGAGCAUGAAAUGGAGCCUUGCAAGGAAUUGAAGAGAGGAAGAAAGGAAAAUGCUAUCUCAUCUCCAGAAAGAAAGGUAGGUGGGGAAAAGUAGAAAGUAGAUACAUUACAUAAUAUAAACAUAUGAACCUUCUUGUAGAAUUAUAUUCAUUUUGCUAUUAUUGAUCUCCAGGGAAGGAGAUGGAAUAAACUCACCAGAUAGCCUUUUACUUUAUUUCUUCUAUUAGUUCUUAUCAGAAUCGGACACAUUAAUCUUUAAGAGGCAUUUUUUAUUACUUCUAAAAGUUGUUUU
Molecule: non-coding RNA, 1852 nt
Organism: Kogia breviceps (pygmy sperm whale)
Lineage: Eukaryota; Metazoa; Chordata; Mammalia; Artiodactyla; Physeteridae
Source: RefSeq, a predicted model, not a curated record